GAUGAACGCUGGCGGCGUGCCUAAUACAUGCCAGUCGAGCGAACGGACGAGAAGCUUGCUUCCCUGAUGUUAGCGGCGGACGGGUGAGUAACACGUGGAUAACCUACCUAUAAGACUGGGAUAACUUCGGGAAACCGUAGCUAAUACCGGAUAAUAUUUUGAACCGCAUGGUUCAAAAGUGAAAGACGGUCUUGCUGUCACUUAUAGAUGGAUCCGCGCUGCAUUAGCUAGUUGGUAAGGUAACGGCUUACCAAGGCAACGAUGCAUAGCCGACCUGAGAGGGUGGGCGGCCACACUGGAACUGGGACACGGUCCAGACUCCUACGGGAGGCAGCAGUAGGGAAUCUUCGGCAAUGGGCGAAAGCCUGACGGAGCAAAGCCGCGUGAGUGAUGAAGGUCUUCGGAUCGUAAAACUCUGUUAUUAGGGAAAAACAUAUGUGUAAGUAACUGUGCACAUCUUGACGGUACCUAAUCAGAAAGCCACGGCUAACUACGUG
This 497-nucleotide ribosomal RNA is filed under the name uncultured bacterium. RNAcentral's name for it is "partial 16S ribosomal RNA". It matches the Rfam family "Bacterial small subunit ribosomal RNA", at positions 28 to 507 of the family's 1533-position model. The record is from RNAcentral.